Molecule: ribosomal RNA, 253 nt
Filed under: uncultured bacterium
Lineage: Bacteria
Description: partial 16S ribosomal RNA
Rfam family: Bacterial small subunit ribosomal RNA
Source: RNAcentral
GACGGAGGGGGCAAGCGUUGUCCGGACUCACUGGGCGUAAAGGGUGCGCAGGCGGUUCUGUGCGUCGGCGCUGAAAGUGCCCGGCUCAACCGGGUGAGGCGCGCCGAUACGAUGGAACUUGAGGCUCGGAGAGGGUGGUGGAACUCCUGGUGUAGUGGUGAAAUGCGUAGAGAUUACAUGGAAUACCAAUUGCGAAGGCAGGUUACUACCAAUAUAUUGACGCUGAUGGACGAAAGCGUGGGGAGCGAACAGG